RNAcentral lists this ribosomal RNA (253 nucleotides) under uncultured bacterium. RNAcentral describes it as "partial 16S ribosomal RNA". It matches the Rfam family "Bacterial small subunit ribosomal RNA", at positions 524 to 776 of the family's 1533-position model. The record is from RNAcentral.
UACGUAGGGUGCGAGCGUUAAUCGGAAUUACUGGGCGUAAAGCGUGCGCAGGCGGUUUUGUAAGUCUGUUGUGAAAUCCCCGGGCUCAACCUGGGAAUGGCAAUGGAGACUGCAAGGCUAGAGUUUGGCAGAGGGGGGUAGAAUUCCACGUGUAGCAGUGAAAUGCGUAGAUAUGUGGAGGAACACCGAUGGCGAAGGCAGCCCCCUGGGUCAAAACUGACGCUCAUGCACGAAAGCGUGGGGAGCAAACAGG